Molecule: long non-coding RNA, 762 nt
Organism: Amphibalanus amphitrite
Lineage: Eukaryota; Metazoa; Arthropoda; Thecostraca; Balanomorpha; Balanidae
Exons: 6
Source: RefSeq, a predicted model, not a curated record
CGGUCGGCCCACAGCCGCCUGACCUCGAAAUGGGCAACGGAGCGGAGACGUCACGUGCAUUGUUUACGUUCAUUGACCCGGCGGGUUAUCAACGAUGGAAUUUUUCUGUUUUGAUAUUCCAUGACUGACUGAAGAGUCGUGAUAGAAUCAAAUACCAGCAACAAGCUAACCUUCAUAAGCGUGCCUGCAAUUUAUAGUCGCGGUGCCUGGCGCCGCCCGUGCGUCUGUCGUGCCCCCGGGCGGCGGCCGGUCGGCCGGAGCGAGGCUGACCGUCGCGCGCGCGACCUCUUCGCUACCAGCGCUCGGUGAGGGCGGGCGGCACUCGGUGUGGUGAAGAAUUUUAGUUGAAAUACCGCUGUUGUCUUUGAAAGUGCCGGCCUGUCUGAUCAGCCGUCAGGGGCGGCGCCGCCACCCCUCUGUCCCCGGGACGGCCCCAUGUCACACCGACCUCUCAUACUCGCAACGCAUUGCGUUGUUGAUCAGCCGUCUGGGGCGGUGCCGCCACCCCUCUGUGUUCGCUGGACGACCACCGCGGGAGAGCGAGCCCCCGGUCCGGUGUCGGACCGACCUGUCAACAAACAGACUCGGAACGCUCUGUGCGGCAGUACGUGCGCCGCCGUUGGUACCGAGACUAGAAACGUCCAUCUGCCGGUCAAAACUGGACUGCGGCCGACGGGAACUCCAGCUCUCUCCCAGCUCGCGGGUUGGUGAACCAGCCUGAUUGGGAAUCUCCGGUGGCCUCACACCUGGACGAAAGAUAAG